This is a long non-coding RNA of Bos taurus (domestic cattle), 1387 nucleotides long. The record is from Ensembl. Lineage: Eukaryota; Metazoa; Chordata; Mammalia; Artiodactyla; Bovidae.
GUGGAGAAGGCAAAGGGCGAGUCGGGCGGGGUCGCGGUGGGGCGGUGGGGGUGGCUACAGAACAGAAGUGGGAAUGGAUGGAGUGCACAAGGGCUGGACUCCGACGACCCUGGCUGUCAAUCUCGGCAGUGAGUUCUCCCUGAGCCUCAGCUUCCUCCUCUGGAAAACGGGGAUGACAGCCCUACCCGGCAAAACCAACUUGAACGGCCCCAGCGCCGGGCCCAGGAGGCAUCCUGCAGGUGCUUUAACCAGCUUAGCAGGCGGGCAGCUGGGCUUGGUGCCUAGGCGGUCUGGUCUCUUGGAUGGGAGGGUCCGGGGCAUGGAGGGGAAAGCGGAGCCCCAAACCUGUAACUCACAUGGAUCCACUCAGCUACCAAGUAAUGCGACCGGUUCCUCCGCACGCCCACCUCUCCUUCUCCCGGCUCCGCCAGGGGCCGAGGGUCCUGCAAACGCAAACCUGCAGCAAAUAACGCUGAUUAUAGCAUUUACGAGCCUUUUCUGAGGCUCCUCACUCAACCUCUCGGUCUCUCCUCUAUCACGUGGGGUCAGCGCUGGGUGGGCACGUGCGGGUCCAGAGGAGCAGGGCCCCUGCCUCUCAUCAAGCCUUGAGGUCCGGAGGCCUUGAGGUUCAGUAAGGACAGAGGGACAGGGCUGGAUAAUAAAAUGGGGGGCGGGGGGACCUCUGGCUGUCACGCACAGAUACUGGGCAACCCGCCCCCGACCCCGGAGGAUGCCUUACGCAUGCGCGUGGCGCUGGGUUCCUUCAUGUCCGUCAAAUAGCAGAGGCGGUGCGUCCGGGCCCACGUGUACGUGCCCACGCGUGCGUGCGCAGCGUUUGCUGACUCCGCCCCGGGUACCCGGGAGAAACUGAGGCACCGAGCAGGGUGGUGGCUUGUUGGGAGCUUCAGAGCUGGCGUUCCACCAGUGCUACCUUUCCGAGGGGACCUGCGGACCAGCCAGGUGAACUGAUGGGCUGCGGCCCCGCCCACCCUGGGCAGCUGUCCAUGAGAAGGCCUCUUCAGAGCCAAGGGCAGCGUGGUGCCAUCCCACCUCUGCGAGUUUCAGACAGGGCAGAGUCUGCCCCCAGUGACCCGGGAGGCCCCUCUGACUUAAUGUCUCAGGUUGAACUCUGCAUCUCCCAUCAGCCUGUUGCUCUCAGCUUCUGGAAGAGGCAGCCCCAGGCUGGUGAAGCCCCCAACCUAGGAACUCCCUGCCUGGACCCUGCCUCUCCUCACCACAGACCACAUCGUCGUCCCCUAGUCCUCAGGAGUUCCUCUUCCUAAGAACCCGAAAGCCAUCUUUGGCUUCCUGUGCUCGCUGUGCAGUCAGGGGGCUCUCCCUGGCCUUGCCUAGCUCUCCAGAGCCUGGAGAACCCAUCCCACCCCAC